CGUGUGUAAAAAUAAAUGGGUUCACGUGAUGUGUGCUUAUGUCGUUUUGUUUUCCGUCGUUUUGCGGACUAUAUUUAUUCGACGUCUAGCUGACCCGGCAGAGUUCGUAGUGCCUCAAUCGAUAAAUCAAAAGACCUAAACUUUUGUAUAAAAUAAACUUAAAACAAACAAAAGGAAUCCAUCCGACGGGGGACACAUAAAAGGAAAAACAAAAUUGUUAUUUUUAUGUAAUUCUAAGCAUUUUCAUAUUUAUCUACCAUUUAAACCUUUUCUGGACUUCUACAAAUAAUUCAAGACCAAAAUUAGCCAAAUCGGUCCAGCCGUUCUCGAGUUUUAGUGAGACUUACGAACAGCAAUUCAUUUUUAUGUAUAUAGAUAUAUAGAUUACAUUUGUGUCGCAUUUGGAGUAAGCGGUCAUCGAAUGUGUCGAAAUCACAAUAAAAUGUCGCUUCCUUUUUUGUGACCUUUGGAAUUACAGUACAGCGGAGUCCCUACAAAAAAUCAGGAUGCUCUAUUGCUUGUCAAGUUUAUGAUAUCUGAUAUCUCAUGCAUGUUAUUACAUCACGUUUAGUUGAUCAAAAACUUAGUUUGGUAGUAGCGGUGCAUUUGUAUCUAGCGAUGCAUCGGGAUUCGAAUCCCGCAGGCAGGUACCAAUUGUUCUAAUGCGUUACAUACUUAACAAAUGUUACGAUGGACUUCCACGGCGAAGGAAUGAUAUCGUGUAGUAAAAAUCAAACCCGCAAAAUUAUAAUUUGCGUAAUUACUGGUGGUAGGACCUCUCGUGAGUCCGCACGGAUAGGUACCAUCACCUUGCCUAUUUCUGCCGUGAAACAGUAAUGCGUUUCGGUUUGAAGGGUGGGGCAGCCGUUGUAACUAUACUGAGACAUUAAAACUUAUAUCUCAAGGUGGGUAUCGCAUUUACGUAGUAUAUGUCUAUGGGCUCCAGUAACCAAUUAACACCAGGUGGACUGUGAGCUGGUCCACCCAUUUAAUCAAUAAAAAAUAUAAAAAUAUUAGCAUUGUAAAUUAGAAAAAACGAAUCUAUAAACUACGUACUACUAAGCACGACUCACCGGACUUGGGUCGAUGAAAAUGCUCUCAAUGCUGCCAUUGUAAAUAUACAUUCCGGUUAUGUUGGUAACGUUGUUGAGAAGAACGUUGGUCUGGCAUUCCUCGUACGUGGAGUAGUAGGCGCAGGCUUUCUGUUUCAGCUUCUGAAUUUUCCUGCGUCGAACACACACUUAUAAAAAAUACAUCGAGAAUUAACAAACCUUGCUUAUUAAUAUAAUACGCUUUUGUUAGCUUCAUACGUAUCUACCUAUACUAAUACAUAAAUCUACAGUGGUUUUUACGGAUGUUCCGUUAUAACUACUGAAUCAUGCAUCCGAUUGACUUAAAACUUGGUAUCCAUGUAGAAAAUGCAUGUAUUUAAUGGAUAGGCUAAAUAUUUAUAUGAGUGUUGGACUCCUUAAUAAUAAUGACAAUCUUCUUCUUCUAUUUAUAUAAAAAUGAAUUGCUGUUCGUUAGUGUCGCUAAAACUCGAGAAUGGCUGGACCGAUUUGGCUAAUUUUGGUCUUGAAUCAUUUGUGGAAGUCCAGAGAAGGUUUAAAAGGUAAAUAAAUAUGAAAAUGCUCGGAAUAAAAUAAAAAUAACAAUUUUGUUUUUCCUUUUAUGUGUCUCCCGUCGGACGGAUUCCUUUUGUUUGUUUUAAGUUUAUUUUAUACAAAAGUUUAGGUAUUUUAUUUAUCGAUUGAGGCACUACGAAGUCUGCCGGGUCAGCUAUAAAUAAUAAUUUUAAAUGCCCAGCAAAGCGGGCGAAUACGGCUAGUGUUCGUAUGUAACGGAAUCUUUGAACAUGAUUUUGAGCUCCUUCAAAACGUCGCAUUAACUCGAAAUUUUGCAUACUUAUCAAGGACCGAUGACUAUUCAAUAUUUUAAGCAGUUAGAUCCGUUAUUUACUUUCGGCAGUCAAAACAACAAAUUCAUUUUAGCGCCUUCUAUUUUUCACUUAGCAAAUUGGAAACUGUCAUGUUUGCCUGAAUGUACAUUAAUGAAUAAUUUAUGGUACACAAUGAUAAUAAACUAAAAAAUGAAAAAUAAAUAAUAGUUUUAAAAAAACAUUUAAAAACACGCGUUUAUGGAAAAUUCAACUAAAAUAUAGAAAAUAAAUUUAUUGUAAAAAAAGCGUGCGGUACUUUUAAGAUAUUAUCAAAAUUAUAAGACUUUUACUCAUAUCGGUCAAUAAAAUAUUAAAACUAUUGACACCGCGCACCGACAUCCAUUUUAGAUGGAUAUUCUAUAACAGCGUGUGUUUUAGUUUUUCUUAAACUUUUUUUAAAAAUAUAAAGUCGGUUGAGUUUAUCAAGUGUUGUUUUGAAACGGGAAGACUGCUUUGAUUAGUGCGUGUAAGACAGUAAACAUUUUGUUUAAUUAACUCUUCUGAGUAUCGCCUAUCUUCGAAUUUAAGUCAUGCCAAAGAUUUCGGUGAAAAUUCAUGGUUUUUCAACGUUGAAGUUGAACAGUCAUUUUAUUGCUUAUCUCGCGCGCGGACUUUAGUUCACACCGGCUGUAUCACACAACAUAGGUUGUAUUGCUCUUUGAACCGAAGUGCAUGACUGGUCUGCCUACACGGGCAAUAAAAAAUGAAAAAAAAAAAAUGCUCUCAACUAAAUUUGAAUAGUGGAGGGGGAUUGGUCUGACGUCAUCGGCUCAUCAAGUACUAAAUUUAAUACACUCUAAGAGUUUGUUUAACGCCGCUCCUAUUUAGUUUAUUUAUUAACGACCUUCACCGGUCGCCACCGGCCCAGUUCGCCUUAUUCGCUUACGACACAACCGCUUACUACUCGAGUAAGAACAAGUCCUUAAUGACGAGUAAGCUCCAGAGCGCAGCUGUAACCCUCGGACAGUGGUUUCAAAAAUGGCGCAUAGACAUUAACGCAGCGAAAAGCACAGCAGUGUUAUUUCAAACGGGAAACUCUACGUGGAAUUCCUCCCGAAUUAGGAGGAGAAAUAUCACACCCCCGAUCACCCUCUUCGGCCAACCUAUUCCCUGGGCCAGUAAGGUCACCCUGGAUGCAUCCAUGACAUUCCGGCCGCAUAUAAAAACAGUCCGCGACCGUGCCGCGUUUAUUCUCGGCAGACUCUAUCCCAUGAUCUGUAACCGGAGUAAAAUGUCCCUACGGAACAAGGUGACACUUUGCAAAACUUACAUAAUGCCGAACAUGACUUACGCGAGUGUGGUGUUCGCUCACGCGGAUCGCACACACUUAGACACCCUCCAAUCCCUACAAUCUCGUUUUUGGAAGCUAGUCGUCGGUGCUCCGUGGUUCUUGAGGAAGGUUGACCUACACAACGACCUGGGCCUCAAAUCGAGAAAGGUUUUCGUGGUUUUUGAACCAAAUUCUUUACUUUCUCGCUUAGAUACGAGCUCAGAUUGCCUUGUGUUAAGACAUCACAGCGUGAAUGAACCUUGAGACAUGAGGUUGGUGUCUCAAAUAUACAUAUUACGUAACGACUGCCCACACCAUUCAAGCUAGCACGCAUCAUUACUUCUCGGAAGAUGUUUCAUGAUAAUAUUAUCCUCACUAAAGUAACCUCUGGAACCGUUUGGAACCUCUGGGUCUGCGGAGGGACUUCGGUUCCCUCUGUAUUUUGUACCGUAUGUUCCAUGGGGAGUGCUCUGAGGAAUUAUUCGAGAUGAUACCGGUAUCUCGUUUUUACCAUCGCACCGCCCGCCACCGGAGUAGAGUUCAUCCGUACUACCUGGAACCACUGCGGUCAUCCACAGUGCGUUUCCAGAGAUCUUUUUUGCCACGUACCAUCCGGCUAUGGAAUGAGCUCCCCUCCACGGUGUUUCCCGAGCGCUAUGACAUGUCCUUCUUCAAACGAGGCUUGUGGAGAGUAUUAAGCGGUAGGCAGCGGCUUGGCUCUGUCCCUGGCAUUGCUGAAGUCCACGGGCGACGAUAACCACUCACCAUCAGGUAGGCCGUAUGCUCGUCUGCCUACAAGGGCAAUAAAAAAAAAAGUAAAAUCCUAAAAAAAUGCAAAUUUUAGCACAGUAUAACAUAAAGGUAUUUUCGGUAAGAGCGAUCUUUUUCAUUCAACUGUCAUAAAGAAAAAGGUUUUUUUAUAAGUAAAGGAAUUCAUUGCGAUAUGUUUAUGAGUAGAUUAAACAUUUGUAUUAUCUUGUUAUGGAGAAAUUUGAGAAUGAAAACAGAUUUUACUGGUGGUGGUAGGACCUCUUGUGAGUCCGCGCGGGUGGGUACCACCACCCUGCCUAUUUCUGCCGCGAAGCAGUAAUGCGUUUCGGUUUGAAGGGCGGGCAGCCGUUGUAACUAUACUUGCGACCUUAGAGCUUAUAUCUCAAGGUGGGUGGCGCAUUUACGUUGUGGUUGUCUAUGGACUCCAGUGACCACUUAACACCAGGUGGGCUGUGAGCUCGUCCACCCAUCUAAGCAAUUAAAAAAGAGAUUUGUACUUCGAUUGAAUUUUUAACGGUAAAUAUUGUUUAGGAGAAGUGUAACCAACAACAAAAACAAAAAGCAAUAAUAGAACUUUUUUAUCCUUUCCCAAAGCUUAUUAGCUUUCCAAAGAAGCUGAUUGAAUUUUUUCCUCUUUCCGAACGAUUUUCCCAAUUAUAUAGUUAAGUUUAGUUCGCCUUUACCGAACGACGGUCCUCAUCAAUCAUUCAGAUAUUAUUUAUUUUGUAAAACAAUCGUGUUUGCGUUAAUAAAUUUCAUGGUUCCAUUGUUAAUGUUUAUUCCGAGGAAAUGAUCAAUCAGGCGUGUUAUUAAGUUCAUUGACUUUCUCGAUAACAGAUAUUAUUUAUUUAUGGAAUUCAUGUGAAGCGAACUUAAAUUUUCUGCCAAUGAAGAUUUCCAAUUAUUUUGUAUUAAUUAUCGUAUCGACGCUUGAAAGGCAAACAUGACUAAGCGACAAUAACUCCUUUGUAUAUAAAUGAUAGGCAAUAACCAUAUUCGAUGCGCAAAAAAAAUAUAUUUCUAGAUCUAUUAAAAUCAUUUCAAUCCUACGGCUACUAGUUAGAUUCUACUACAGCUGGAUUCGUUAAAAUAAAUUUUGUUUUCAGGUAUUUCAACUUUAAAUUAGUCUACUAUAAAGUUCACGCAUUGUCGCUUAGUCACGUUUGCCUUUCAAACGUCGGUAUGUAUAUUUACGGAGAUAUGUAUGUGUAUAUGUAUGUGUACAUAUAUGUGUAUGUAUUUCACUGGAAUGGUACACCGCGCGUAGUUCGUUUCCAAAUGAUUCUUGUCCACCUGAUGGUUGUCUGGAAGAGAUCGCUCUUAGCGAUAAGACCGCCAAUUGUCCUUUUUUUGUUUUUAAUGUAUCGCACUGUUUAUUUGUUUUUUGGUGUACAAAUACUCUCUCUCUCUCUCUCUCUCUCUCUCUCUCUCUCUCUCUGAAGGCAAAUUUUUGGCGUAUACGAGCCCAUUACACGGCUGCUGUUAAUGUUACCCACAUACGACGUAGGGCGAAUGUGAAACUGUAAAACCCGUUUUAUACUUAAUGAUAUCGAGAAUCCGCACGGUUCUUUGAGAAUCUUUUUUAUUUUAUUAUUUAGACGAGUCAAGGAGUUUACAGUCCGCCCGGUGUUACGUGGAGCCCAGGGGCAUCAACAACGGAACUGAUGCUGCCCAUCUAAAAUUAGUCUUAGUUUUAACACUAAAACGUCUGCUCCACCUUCAUUCAAACCAGAAUGUAUUGAUUUCGGGGCUGAAAUGGGUGGGAUGGUACCUACUCCAUGGUUCACAAGACGCUGUACCACCAGUUAGGAAAUUCUGUAUACUUCCACCGCACCUCAAUUAAGCAUUCCGAAUAGUUUAUUAAUUAACCCUCUAUUGAACUGAUGGCCAUGACCACUCUGCCAACAGUGCAAACUACUAAGAAGAAAUACACAAGAAAUAACGUUAAACAAAAGGGCACGGGUUGUUACAAAAUUAAAUGGCAUUCUUAUUGUUUUCAGCCAUCGGUUCUAGAUAACCGGUGAAAGCUGGUGAUAUUACUGGUGAAAUUGGUGGGAUGUUGCCGACGCCGUGAAAGUCUGCUUUUUUCCUUAACUAAUAGCUGGUAAUCUAAGGGACUAUUCCACCUACUCAUUUACGGGUAGGUAAGCUCACAAGCUCAACUUGAGAGAGUUUGCUAAAACUGGCCUAGCAAGAGCAGUGCUUCACUGAAUCUCCCACCGGAUCUGAAUCGCGACCUACUAAGAAGAAUCGGUGAGAAGCUCUCAUGGUGUGUAUGGGUUAGCUUACACGUUGAAUUCCUUGACGAGCUCCACGAGAACGGUGACCGGUGCUUCGAAAGCUUAAAAGCACCGAGAGUGGAUACUGGCGAUCGGUCAUGACAUGCUUCGGGCGACGGCGGCUUUGUGUUGCAGCUUCACCUUGGUCAGAUAUGUAGAUAGAGGCGGCCACUAUAAGAAAAUUACCGUGGCGUGCGGCUUUUCUCAAAGAAUAUAUCGGUUCUAACGGCUAUUUCAUAGUUAAAACUGGAACGAAUGAAUGGUACGCGACAGCAAUAAACAAUGAUGACACUUAUCCGUGCCACUAAAGAAAACGCCUUACCGAGUUUUCUAAAUAGAUAGAACAAGAUGUUACAACGGAUCGCCGGCGAGCAAUUCCAAGCAAAAAGCUACUGAAUACUGGAUUUUACGAGCCGUGUCGCAACAUGGACCGACGUAGUAUCGCCUGGAGUUCGAUUUUAUGAUUUUUUCAUACGCCCGCACUUCUGCUUUCGCUUUGACCUUGUUUGGGUCGUUUUAUUUAGUUAAGCUUACAUCGCGAAGAGGUCUUAAAUGAUUUUUAGGUAGUUUUUCAAUCACGCUUCAUACUAGUGAUAUAAAUUUAAUUUAAACUAGCCGACCCGGCAGGCUUCGUAGUGUCUCAAUCGAUAAAUAAAAGACCUAAACUUUUUUAUAAAAUAAACUUAAAACAAACAAAAGGAAUCCGUCCGACGGGGAACACAUCAAAGGGAAAACAACAUUGUUAUUUUUAUUUAAUUCCGAGCAUUUAUCUACCUUUUGAACCUUCUCUGGACUUCUACAAAUAAUUCAAGACCAAAAUUAGCCAAAUCGGUCCAGCCAUUCUUGAGUUUUAACGAGACUAACGAACAGCAAUUCGUUUUUAUAUAUAAAGAAGAAGAAUAUUAAUAACAAAAGAUAUUAAAACAGUUAUUUGAUCAGUGUUUUAAUUAUUAUUUUUAUUGCUAAUAUGGGUAAAAGUGCUCACGGCCCAUCUGGUGUUAAGUAGUCCCCAACUACGUUAAUGCCAUCAACUUUUUUUUUUGGGGCGGAACCUUCUAUGAGUUCCCUGUGCCUAGGGGGCGCGCGUGGUAUGUGGGACUGGACCAUCCCCAGAAGUUGGGAGCGCACCGCGGUCCCAAGGGAUGUCCUAAUGAAUUGUGACCCUAACUCCCUAACUCCCUUACACUCUUUCACCCGACGUCCGAUAUCCGCCCGGAGUAUAAUACCACUCUUCAACUUGAGACAUGAGUUCUAAGUCUUAGUUUUCAGCACAACGGCUGCCCCACCCUUCAAAGCGAAACGCGAUAGAAAUAAGCAGGCUGCUGUUACCUACUCGUGCGGCCUCAAAAGACGUCUCACUUCCAACUAAAAUAUUUAAUGAUUUACAAUUAGGAAUCACUUAAUAAAAUAAAGCGGUUUUUUGUUCAAGCAAAAUCAUCAUGUUGUUUUUUGUUUAAUUUAAUUUUAUGGUUUAUAUUUGGACUCCAAAUGAAUUGGCUUUUGUCUCGCGGUGAAACCGGUUAAAUUGGUGAAACUUACUCGUUUAGACUCACAACACCGCAAGAACAAAGUUUAUUAUCUUGAAAGGUAGUUUCAAUUUGUCUUAUUGUUUAGUAUCAAAACAAAUUGGAAGCUUACAUUUUUAUUCCAUGAACUUAUUACAAUCAAUGUGAGUUGAUUAUAUCGAAUGUUUCUUUAUUAUUAUUUUUUACAUUAUAUUAUAUCGAUAAUAUUUUUUCAUCGAAUUAUUUGAAAUUAGAUCGAUAAUUUGUAUUCAAUUUAAGAAUAAUUUAAUUAAACAAUAGGCUUACUUAUAAUUUUUGAAUUUGACAAUAUCUAAUAAAGGUUCUGAAAAGAGCCACGGUCUUUAGAAGAACCAACGAUUAAAACUCUGCGAGCUAUUUCUAAUUAAUUUUGUUUCUAUUGUUUACUAGCUUCCCGCUCACAGCUUCACCUGCGUGGACAACACACCCCAUACAAUUGGACCCCUGAUCAGCAAUGGGUUUAACGGCAUCCUAAUCCUUCGCAGGGUCUUCCUUUUAUAUGUAUAGUUUAUUUUAUAAUUAACUUGCGACCCGCCCUCGCUUCGCUUCGGAAACAUUAAAUUUUAUUAUUGAUAGCUGAGUCCCGCGAUGUUAACCGCGGUUAUUGUCGUACCGCGGGUGACGCCGUGGGGCAAACCUACUCUAAAAAAAGUAGCAUAUGUUACCCCUUAUAUCAUCAACUACCUAUCAGUGAAAGUGUCGUCAAAAUCCAUCUAGCCAUUCCAGAGAAUAGCCGGAACAAACUGACAAAAAUUAUAAAAAAUGUUAUUUUGGUUUAUGUAUCCUAUAUAAUUAUAUUCAUACGCAUGUAGUAAAAAGCGGUUAUUUCAAUAUUACAAACAGACACUCCAAUUUUACUUAUAUGCAUAGAUGUUAAGGUAUUAAAAGUGUAGUUAUUUUCUUACCAUUGGGUAAUGAAAUUUGUGCCGAUGCUGAAUAUUGGUGUUGAUCGAUUGAAAUCGAAGCUGGUCUCGGUGGAAUUCAUCUUGGAACUCUCGACUCACUGACGAGAUGAGAAGCGCUGGGAGUUUUACUGCAACUAAAAUGCACAAUCCCGUUAAGUAUUCCGUUAGUACAAUCGUGCGAUCAAAGCAAUAAGCCUUUUAUUGCGAUGAGUUUAAAGUCGUGAAUUCCUGAUCCGUUUUGCAGUUUUAUAUUUCAGAAUUCAGUAGGUUAAAUCCGAUUUAUUUUCACUUAAGUUCGCCAUUAAUAGUGUGUGUUUACAAUUGCUACAAUAAAGAAAUAUGUAUGUGUCGUUAAUUCUAGUUUUUGAUUUGUAUUUCAUUUAUUGACAAUUCUAAUGACAAUGUUAAUAAAUGGUUAAGCGAUUCCCAACA
This is a long non-coding RNA of Bombyx mori (domestic silkworm), 9140 nucleotides long. RefSeq lists it as uncharacterized. The record is from RefSeq and is a predicted model, not a curated record. The transcript is spliced from 2 exons. Lineage: Eukaryota; Metazoa; Arthropoda; Insecta; Lepidoptera; Bombycidae.